UUCGGGAUGCGAGUACAGCGGCGAACGGGUUGAGUACACGUAAGCAACCUGCCCCUAAAUCCGGGAUUAGGCUGCGAACGCGGGGCUAAUACCGGAUGUGGUUGACAGGUCGCAUGAUUUUUCCAUUACAGGUGACCUCUUCUUGANAGUUACUGUNUAGGGAUGGGCUUGCGGACCAUUAGCUUGUUGGUGAGGUAACGGCUCACCAAGGCUGCGAUGGUUAGCCGACCUGAGAGGGUGAUCGGCCACAUUGGGACUGAGAGACGGCCCAGACUCCUACGGGAGGCAGCAGUAGGGAAUUUUGCGCAAUGGACGAAAGUCUGACGCAGCAACGCCGCGUGAGGGAUGAAGGCCUUCGGGUUGUAAACCUCUGUUGAGUGAGAAGAAAAGCAUGCGGGAUAAUACUCCGCGUGUCUGACGGUAUCACUCGAGGAAGCCCCGGCUAACUACGUGCCAGCAGCCGCGGUAAUACGUAGGGGGCAAGCGUUGUUCGGAAUUACUGGGUGUAAAGGGAGCGUAGGUGGAAAGGUAAGUUAGGAGUGAAAGAUACGGGCUUAACCCGUAGUCCGCUUUUAAUACUGUCUUUCUUGAGUAUGGGAGAGGAUGACGGAAUUCCUGGUGUAGCGGUGGAAUGCGUAGAUAUCAGGAAGAACACCGGUUGCGAAGGCGGUCAUCUGGCCCAGUACUGACGCUGAGGCUCGAAAGCUGAGGGAGCGAACAGGAUUAGAUACCCUGGUAGUCCCCAGCCGUAAACGAUGGACACUAGAUGCUGGAAGAGUCAAUCCUUUCAGUGUCGUAGCUAACGCGUUAAGUGUCC
Molecule: ribosomal RNA, 817 nt
Filed under: uncultured organism
Description: bacterial SSU rRNA
Rfam family: Bacterial small subunit ribosomal RNA
Source: RNAcentral